Oncorhynchus tshawytscha (Chinook salmon) is the source of this 2543-nucleotide long non-coding RNA. Lineage: Eukaryota; Metazoa; Chordata; Actinopteri; Salmoniformes; Salmonidae. The record is from Ensembl.
CUAGGUGGCCUAUUGUAGAGUGGCUAGUUAGCCUCUUGUAGAGUGGCUAGGUGGCCUAUUGUAGAGUGGCUAGGUGGCCUAUUGUAGAGUGGCUAGUUGACCUAUUGUAGAGUGGCUAGGUAGCCUAUUGUAGAGUGGCUAGGUGGCCUAUUGUAGAGUGGCUAGGUGGCCUAUUGUAGAGUGGCUAGGUAACCUUUUUUAGGGUCUUUGUAAGGCCUACUGUAUGAGAAGCAGAAUCAUGUGUUUUACAAGGAACGGUAUAGGACUUAAAAUAAGUAACAUAGUGAAGGGUAGGGGGAUUCUGCCUUAUCACCCUGACACAGCUCCUCCACAACAUACUUUCCUGUUUUCGUCUUUCUCAUUACUCUCUCUCUUCCUCUAUUUUUUUGUUGUUGAAAAAUGCAGUCAUAGGUCAAAUACAUAUUUUUGUUGCAUCAGCAGACUAAAGUCAGGGCCCAUAUUUAUCAAACGUGUCAGUGCAGGAGUGCUGAUCUAGGAUCUGUUUAUCCUUUUUGAUCAUAAUGAAUAAGGUCAUGUGGACAGGAAUGACUUGAUCCCACGUCAGUAUUCCUGAGAUGGUUGAUCUCCUAGAUCUACAUUUGCUUUGUAUCGAGUCCAGGUUUGGGUUUAUUUAAAAAUAUAUUUGAAAGUAAGCUAUAGACACAUGUUUUCUAACUUUAGGGAAUUUUGGAGUAGCAGAAUAGUAGAUCAUUCAUAACCCCAGGUUUUGUGCUUAAGUGAGGGGGUUUUGAAACCCUUCAGUGCAGCAGUCUGCAACUUGAACUUUCAGUUGGACUUGAGCGUGACUGAACUUUAGUUAGACAUACUGCCUGUUUCCAAUGGGCAGUUUUGAGACACAACACAAUGCCAUAGAUGUCUCAAGUUUUGAGGGAGCAUGCAAUUCACAUGCUGACUGCAGGAAUGUCCACCAGAGCUGUUGCCAGAGAAUUGAAUGUUAAAUUCUCUACCAUAAGAAAGUUGUUUUAGAGAAUUUGUCAGUAUGUCCAACUGGCCUCACAACCACAGACCACGUGUAACCAUGCCAGCCCAGGAUCUCCACAUCCAGCUUCUUCACCUGCAGGAUUGUCUGAGACCAGCCACCUGGACAGCUGAUGAAAGUGUGGGUUUGCACAACCAAAUCAUUUCUGCACAAACUGUCAGAAACUAUCUCAGGGAAGUGUAACAGUAUAACUUUAGACCGUCCCCUCGCCCAUACCCGGGCACGAACCAGGGACCCUCUGCACACAUCAAUAACAGCCACCCUCGAAGCAUUGUUACCCAUCGCUCCACAAAAGCCGCGGCCCUUGCAGAGCAAGGGGAACUACUACUUCAAGGUCUCAGAGCAAGUGACGUCACCGAUUGAAACGCUAUUUAGCGCGCACCGCUAACUAAGCUAGCCGUUUCACAUCCGUUACAGAAGCUCAUCUGCGUCCUCGUCGUCCUCACCACAGUCUUGACCUGACUGCAGUUCGGUGUCAGAACCAGCUUCAGUGGGUAAAUGCUCACCUUUGAUGGCCACCAGAAUGCUGUAAAAGUGUGCUCUUCACGAAUGAAUCCCAGUGUAAACUGUACCGAGCAGAUAGCAGACAGCAUGUACGGCGUCGUUUGGGCGAGCGGUUUGCUGAUGUCAUCGUUGUGAACAGAGUGCCCCAUGGUGGCGGUGGGGUUAUGGUAUGGGCAGGCAUAAGCUACGGACAACGAACACAAUUGCAUUUUAUCGAUGGCAAUUUGAAUGCACACAGAUACCAUGUUUCAGUAUGAUAAUGCACAGCCCCAUGUCGCAAGGAUCUGUAAACAAUUCCUGGAAGUUGAAAAUGUCCCAGUGCUUCCAUGGCCUGCAUACUUACAAGACAUGUCACCCAUUGAGCUUGUUUGGAAUGCCCUGGAUCGACGUGUACGUCAGUGUGUUCCAGUUCCUACCAAUAUUCAGCAACUUCACACAGCCAUUGAAGAGGAGUGGGACAACAUUCCACAGGCCACAAUCAACAGGCCACAAUCAACAGCCUGAUCAACUCCAUGCGAAGGCGAUGUGUUUGUUAGGAAUAUUAUUAAUAAAUGACUGAACAAUAUUCUAAUUUUAAAUGGAACUGUAACUAAGUAAACUUAUACUCUGUUUUAUUAUAUCUGAUUAACAAUAUGAGUUCAUAAGAUGGGAUUGUGUGACACGGACAAGGAGUAAUUAAAUAUAAUGAACACCAUUCCAAACUAGUCUGGAGAGGAGUGGGUUAAGUAAGCAGAUAGGGUCGUUAACCUAUGGUUGAACCGACGAAACUGAGCUCUGGGGUGUUUUAGAUAAGGCAGUGAGUGCAUUCCUAGGUUUUCUGUUAAUUAGAACUGUCAGCUAAGUGGUGAUCGAUAAUGGUGAGGGGUCAAAAGUUAAUUCAGUUAUGUUGUGUGACCUGUGAGUGUGUUAGUGAAUUGGAAUUAACUUUUAAACUCACUUAAUUCUAGGUCGGGAGGAGGGGAUUCAUUCUAGAAGCAAUGAAAUGACGUCAUGUUAUUGUAUAUAAACUGUUGCUCGUGGUAACGUGGCAGCGCGCUCC